GUCAGGAUGGCCGAGCGGUCUAAGGCGCCAGACUCAAGCCUAUAGCUUGCCGGGUUGUUCGGUUAUAUGGAAUUCUGGUCUUCAAUAGAAGGCGUGGGUUCAAAUCCCACUUCUGACA
Daphnia pulex (common water flea) is the source of this 118-nucleotide non-coding RNA. NCBI's taxonomy places the organism in Eukaryota, Metazoa, Arthropoda, Branchiopoda, Diplostraca, Daphniidae. The record is from Rfam.